GUUUGUGUGAAAGCAGAAUUAAUACAUUUCCUUUGUCAGAUCCAACAAAAGCUUGGUGUGAUGGGAGUCACCAUCACCAGGAGAUUCAGACAAACACUUUAUGUAGGACCCUGGACUACUCCUAUAUCCAAGAAACCCUGUGACCAUUAUAGGUGCAAGGUGUGUAUAACAUAUUUGUUUAUUGUUAAAUGUUUUGUGUGCUCUCCUGUCCUGCUGAUGCUUGUUACCAACUAUGUGGAUUUGGCUAG
Non-coding RNA from Pelobates cultripes (western spadefoot toad), 248 nucleotides. NCBI's taxonomy places the organism in Eukaryota, Metazoa, Chordata, Amphibia, Anura, Pelobatidae. The record is from the annotation of a GenBank genome assembly.